Long non-coding RNA from Dunckerocampus dactyliophorus (ringed pipefish), 456 nucleotides. RefSeq lists it as uncharacterized. The record is from RefSeq and is a predicted model, not a curated record. NCBI's taxonomy places the organism in Eukaryota, Metazoa, Chordata, Actinopteri, Syngnathiformes, Syngnathidae. The transcript is spliced from 3 exons.
GUGGCAGAGCCAAUCUGAAGCGGAAGCUGUCCUUACACACACACACGCCGUGUGAGAGGGGAUUUUUCUCGUGUGCAGAAGGUCCUGACAGCAAACCCACACGUCAAGGGAAGCGAAGAGAAGAUGAAGGCUGAAAAAAUUCAGGAAGCUAUUAUAUACCGGAAGCCUGCGACAUCUGACGUCUGUGAGGAAAUCAAUAGGUGUGAAGAAGAUAACAGGGCUCCAUGCGAGAGGAUUGCCUGGACUUCUGUACAAGUUCACCGAAUCCUCUGGAGACCCCCUGUUGGCUACAGCAAGAGAGGUGAAUGUGCUGAGUUGUAAUCCAGCGUAAUCCUGUGAGGACGAAUAUGGUUUUCACGCUCGCAAAUGGAUGGCUACAGGCAGCCGCCAGGCAGCUAGCACACAACCACAGAGCCACGGGGUCUAAACCUGCUUUCUCCCCGCUAAGUCUGCAAU